CGGGCGGAGUUUAAGAAGUUCGUUCAUUGAAGACCAGUCCAUCUAUAGACAGGAGUUUUGGGAUAAGCUCAUCAAUGAAGUGUCCAAUUAUUCGUCCCAUACCAUACACUCAGUUCUUUUGUAUAUGCGUUUGGUGACACUGAUUAGUGAUUAGAAUUCAAUAAUAAUUAUAACGGCAAUCAUCCUUAUCACACACAUUUUCAAAUAGACUGUCCUUAUGCAAAUUAAAACAUAAGCUCCGCCCGAUCAGUUGAAAUAACAUUGGUAAUACUCUA
RNAcentral lists this long non-coding RNA (275 nucleotides) under Mytilus galloprovincialis (Mediterranean mussel). The record is from RNAcentral. Lineage: Eukaryota; Metazoa; Mollusca; Bivalvia; Mytilida; Mytilidae.